UGUCCAGCGGCGAGUGCGACCACCGCCCUUUCCAGGAAGCGAAGCACACACGUGCAUACCUACCCCAUCCCUCGACAGCCCACUCACACAGAAGAGGCGUAGAAGUGUGUACCGCAUAAAGCUAUGGGGCGCAGCAAGAGGUCUAAGGCGACGGCGCACGCCCAGCCUUGCAGCGACGGGGAGCGUGAGGAGGAGCACGACUCAGCCCCUGCGACAGUGUUGCCUGAACAGGCUGAGGGCUGCGGCGAUGAAAACGGUGCAUCGGCUGCUGCUGAUGGCGCUCAAGCCACGCCCGACCAACACAGCGGCCGCUGCUCGGAGCGCGGCAGGGAUAGCGACGAUGAUGCUCCGAAAACGAAGAAGAAGGAGUACAGGGGCAACCGGCUCAAGAAACUGGAGGUGCAGCGCAAGAAGGGCACGGGCAAGGGCGCUAACGAGGACGACAAGGCAGAGGAGGCGGCGAGAGAGGGGGACGCCGACGAGGAGCCUCUCAUCGUGACGCGGCAGAGGGCCGUGGAGGUGCUCUACUGCCCCAUCUGCACCUUUCCGGCGGAAAUGUGCGAGUUCAGUGGGAUAGUGGAGAAAUGCCGGCCGUGGCUACUAGAGUACGCGGCAGAUCUGGCUGACGCCGAGGAGCGCGGCCGCAAGCGACGCAUCUUGACAGAGAAGGACCGCCUUGAGGCGAUGCUGGAGGGGCGCGGCGUCAAGAAGGCGCUAGAGCGCAUUGUCGUGCUGGAGGUGGAGAAACGCACCGGGCGACGCAUGAUCACAUCUGUCUUUGGCAUGGACCUCUUCGGCUUCAACCUGAAGGAUGUGUCGAGGGACUGGCGCAAGCGCUUCUCCUGCGGCGCCGGCGUGCGUGCCGCGGAGGAGGGCAAGCACCAGGACUGCAUCGACAUUCAGGGCAACGUGGUGGAUCAGCUGGCGGACAUGCUUAUCACCAAGUACAGGAUUCCGAAGGAGUCGGUGUACCUGAUGGAGGGUAAGAAGAAGGUGCCCUACCCGUACUAGUGCUGGCGAUGCUCUUGCAGCCGCAGCGUUGACACCUCGUUCUUGCGCCUCCGUUUCUGCAGUAAACCGUUGACGCUUGUGAGGUGGCGAUGCCCCACAGGUCACAGCUGCGGCGGUGUGAGCGAAGAGAGCAACAAGGCACCGGCUUUUGCUGUGCGUGUCAAGACACGGGCGAAAGUGGAGCGCAAGGCAACCCAACGCACAACCCUUUCAAGGUAACCAUGCGUGGUUCUCCGUAGCCCCUGCGUCUGCGGCUCUGCUUCUUGGCGUAGUCGGAUACCGAUGCGACACUGUUGUUGUGUCUAUGUGUCGCGGGCACGACUGUGCGCCCUAAGCUGAAGGGCUCGCCGCCUAUUUCUCUCCUCUUUCCGGCCUCCGCCUCCUUGCAGCACCUUUUUACUGCGAUAUACCCGCGCGCGUGAAGUGGGGCAUGUUGCCGUCGUGUGCUGCAGUGCCCCGGCGCACGACGCAUGCAUCUCUCACGCAUGCUCUGCGCCUGUGUGUGCGGGCGUGCGCGACUCGAACUGCGCCGUCGUCGCCGCGGGGAGAGGUAGAGGGAGCACCCGACCCAAGAAUGGCCAAGGGAGGGCAGACCUGAGGGAGGAGUGGGUGCGCGGCGUCAACACUAACACCGAUUCUGCGCUCGACACCCCGGAAAAAAAAAGACCAGCGAGGUGCCGCUCGCGCAUUUGCAUGCACAACCAGCGACUGCGCUGGGAUGCCAUGCCGCCCCAGAGCUCGCGCUUGGGCGUCUGUGUGUGCACGUGUCCGUAUGCCUGAGCACGGUGUUUGUUGUUCUCCUCUGGCGCUGUCCGCCUCGCUGGUCGUAAUCACCCGCCUCUUUCAGCGUGUGUGCGUUGUUGUCCUCAGACCCAUCUCCGAGUGGACAGAGGGCGAUGCGUGCACUUGUGCUCGACGGUGGCAGGCUGUUGCGACUGCCGCCGUCGAAAUAACGGCGUGUUAGUCUAUCUAUGCGUAU
This 1990-nucleotide unclassified non-coding RNA is filed under the name Leishmania donovani. Its description in RNAcentral is "gene:LdHU3.25.0490(CDS-product:Translation_initia tion_factor_SUI1_putative)". Lineage: Eukaryota; Euglenozoa; Kinetoplastea; Trypanosomatida; Trypanosomatidae. The record is from RNAcentral.